AGGUCUAAGGGUGGUUUAUCGUUAGGGUGGAGGCAACAUACUGUAGUAACUUUACAUAGUUAUUCACAACAUGACAUUGAUAUUGUGAUACAGGAUACGGAUGACGAAUUUCCCUAGCGUUUUAUUGGGUUUUAUAGGCAUAUUGAAGAACGACUCAGAGAAAGAACAUGGGAUCUUCUUCGACAAUUGGGUCAGGACCAAAGCUUACCAUAACUAGUCAUGGGUCAUUUUAAUGAGAUUGUUUAUUCUUUUGAGAAGUAAGGUGGUCGUUGCCGGGCG
RNAcentral lists this long non-coding RNA (279 nucleotides) under Gossypium barbadense (sea-island cotton). RNAcentral's name for it is "long non-coding RNA (GBAR_LNC013372)". Lineage: Eukaryota; Viridiplantae; Streptophyta; Magnoliopsida; Malvales; Malvaceae. The record is from RNAcentral.